RNAcentral lists this ribosomal RNA (480 nucleotides) under uncultured bacterium. RNAcentral's name for it is "partial 16S ribosomal RNA". It matches the Rfam family "Bacterial small subunit ribosomal RNA", at positions 28 to 507 of the family's 1533-position model. The record is from RNAcentral.
GACGAACGCUGGCGGCGCGCUUAACACAUGCAAGUUGAGCGAUGAAACUUUAUGAGUACCCUACGGUGAAAAGCUACAGAGGGGUAGCUGAGGACGGGGGAGUAUCACGUGGGUCAGCUGCCUUAGACAUUGGGAUAGUGCCGGUACACCGGGAUUAAUACCAAAAAAAAUCAUAAUGUCAAAUGUUAUAAUGACCAAACUUACAGUUGACUAAGAUUGAUUUGCGCCCCAUUAUCUGGUUGGUACAGUACAAGCCUACCAAGGGUACGAGGGGUCACUGGCCCGGAAGCAUGAACCGCCACACUGGAACUGAGAGAAGGACCAAACCCCCACGGGAGGCAGCAGGUGGGAAUAUUGCACAAUGGAGGGGACACUGAUGCAGCCGCGCCGCGUGAACCAAGAAGGCGUUCGAGUCGUAGAUGUCUUUUAAAUGCGAAGAUAGUGACGGUACCAUAAGAAAAAGCCCCGGCUAACUACGUG